Brachypodium distachyon (stiff brome) is the source of this 3213-nucleotide RNA transcript. It is a transcript of the gene named disease resistance protein RPM1-like, with no coding region annotated. The transcript is spliced from 2 exons. The record is from RefSeq and is a predicted model, not a curated record. NCBI's taxonomy places the organism in Eukaryota, Viridiplantae, Streptophyta, Magnoliopsida, Poales, Poaceae.
CCACCAGCAUCCAGUAGAGCACACAUCGCAAAAAAGGAGAGAGAUCCAGCGAGAUCAGAGAGAGACCGCCAUCUAGCUCUAGUAGAGCACAUCUGAUCUGACAGAGGGCAGAGCAGAGCGAGAAGAUCAUAGAGGAAAUUAAGGAAAGAUGGAGGCGACGGCGGUGAGCCUGGCGAGGACGGUCCUGGACGGGGUGCUGGGAAGCGCGGCGACGGCGAUGGCGGACGAGGCGGCGCUGCUGCUGGGGGUGCGGAGGGAGGUGGACUUCAUCCGCAGCGAGCUGGAGAUGAUGCGCUCCUUCCUCCGGUCCUCCGCCGCCGCGUGCUCCUCCGCCGGGGGAGGCUGCUGCAAGGACACGCUCAAGACGUGCGUCAAGCAGGUGCGCGACCUCGCCUGCGACCUCGAGGACUGCCUCCUCGACUUCUCGCUGCACGCGGCCCGCCCGCCCUGGCUCCGCCUGGCCGACCUCGCCGCCCGCCACCGCGUCGCCGACCGGAUACGCGGCCUCAAGGCCACCGUCGACGAGCUCAACCAGCGCAACCAGCGCUACAACGUCUUCGUCGUCGACAAGGCCGUCCCCGCGCCGCCCGCGGACAAGCCCCCGCAGCACGGGCACGACGCUGAACAUCUCCUGCACCCCGAUCUCGCGUCAGGGAGUAGCAAAUUAUCCCAGGUGGUCGGCCGGGACGAAGACAAGGAAGCCCUGAGGGAGAAGCUGGUGAAAGGGGCGGGCGUGGUGUCGGCGGUGUGGGGCAUGGGCGGGAUGGGGAAGUCGUCGCUGGUGACGAUGCUGUACAACGACAGAGCUCUCAUCGACGGCUUCGACUGCCGCGCCUGGGUCACCGUGCCGCGCCACUGGAGAGCCCCGACGAGUUCGGGCGCCGGCUCGAGAAGCAGCUCGGCGUGGACAACGGCCGCGGCGUAUCGGCGUGGAUCAAGGAGAAGCGGUGCCUGGUCGUCGUCGAUGACGUGUCUUCCGGGGAGGAGUGGGACCACAUUCGGCCCUGCUUCGACGCGAUCUGCGACGGCGGUCGGGUCGUCGUGACGACACGGCGGGAGGAUGUUGCCCGGCAAUGCGCCGGUGACAAUGUGUACGAGCUCAAACCUCUCGCACCAGGCGAGGCCCUGAAACUGCUCUGUCAAAAGGUGUACAAGGAUGAUGAAUACAAGUUGUCAGAGCACAUGAAGGAGGAAGCCAACCUUAUCUUAAGGCGAUGUCGAGGCCUUCCACUGGCUAUAGCCACCAUAGGAGGCCUAUUGGCUAACAGACCCAAAACGAGCAGAGAAUGGAUGAAUCUGGGAGAUCAUCUUGGGUCAGAGUUGGAGUAUGACCGUGAUAUCAUGAGAGUUAUCACCUCGAGCUACGACGGGUUACCAUAUCAUCUCAAAACUUGUUUUUUGUACCUUAGUAUUUUCCCUGAGAACUAUGAGAUCAGGUGUACCCGUUUACUGCGCCGGUGGAUGGCUGAAGGGUACAUAGCAAAGCCACGUGACAUGACCAUCGAGGAAGUCGGGCGGAGGCACUACAAGGAGCUCAUCAAUAGAAGCAUGAUCCAGCCCUCCAAGAAGGUUAGGGCUAGCAUGGCAGUUGAACGUUGCCGUGUUCAUGGCGUGGUACUCCAGAUAAUCCUUUCCAAAUCAGUUGAGGAGAACCAACUAUUCAUCAUGGAUAAUCACUGCAACGAGGCUCCACAGAGUAAGAUACGCCACUUAGUAGUGACCAGAAGGAAGAAGAGUGAGAAUAUGUCAAGCAUAAACUUGUCUUUGAUACGUUCAUUGACAGUUUUCGGAGAGUGCCCAUUAUCCCUCAUCACCCCUAAGUUGCGGUUGCUGAGAGUACUUGACCUGGAGGACACGAUUGGUCUGGAGAAUGAUGAUCUCAAGCAUGUUGGGGAACUACGCCAUUUAAGGUAUCUCGGUCUAAGAGGAACAAAUAUUUCAGCACUUCCUUCUUCUCUGCAGAACUUGGUAUGCCUAGAGACAUUAGAUGUUCAAGACACGAAGGUGACAUGGUUCCCACAUGGUAUCACAAAAUUGGAGAAUCUGCGGUACCUUGUUGGUGGCAUCAACUUUGCGAAAGACUUGGUAGAGAAGAUGGGGAAGAAGAAUGCAACCAAAGGUAACAACAACUGCUCGAAAACCUUAGCAGACUUUGUAUGUGGGUGCUAUGGUGGUUACAAGGAACAGAGUCAAUGUCUAUGUUCGGGAUGCACAUGCGAGUUUAGUGUACGAGCUCCUGAGAGAAUUGAGAAGCUAAGGAAUCUACUUGUGCUUGGGGUUUUGCACAUCGCACAAGGCAGCGAAGUGGCAAGGAAUUUGGGAAAGCUGACUAACUUGCGCAGAUUAGGAGUGGAUUUAGAGGCGGAUGGGGGAGCAUGGAUGGAAUUAUGCAGCUCGAUAUCAAGGCUUGUUCAUCUGGAACGACUUGAAGUACGCUCUGAAUCUCUUGAGUUUCUAAAGGACACGAGCAAAGACAAAUCUCCACCAAAGCAUCUCACGUCACUAAGGUUAUGUGGCCGUUUAGGAAAUCUCCCUAGUUGGAUGAGUUCCCUCAAUGAUCUAUCAAAGGUAAAACUACUUCGAACACAGUUGAAGCAAGAAGAAAUCAGGGUUCUUGGAAAACUAGGCAAUCUCACUCUUCUUGGACUCUGGGAGGAUUCUUUCAUGGAAGAGUCACUAUGUUUCAGCAAUGGUACAUUCAAAAAACUCAAACUGCUUUACAUUGAAGGCUUGAAGAAUCUCAAAACCAUACAGAUCGAGGAUGGCACGUUGACUGUGCUUGAGAACCUCCGAGUGAGAAAAUGUCUCCAACUGCAUGAUGGUGAGAAAGGCUUUUCUGGUGUGGUCUUCUUACGGAACCUAAAUGAACUUGCCCUGACAAGUUGUGGCGAAAAACCGGAGUUGGAAAAGGCUCUUCAAUUGCAGAUUGUGGGACUAGCGAACCGGCCCACACUAAUAACAGGCAAGUCUAUCGUAUUGAGGAGUGCGCCAUCAUUGAGACAUUUCCUUCCCAUGGAAGCAGACUGUGCAUAAAGAUAGUAGGCUCAACAGAUGAAAGCAAUUCAUUUAGAUUUGUUAUGUGGAUAUAUCAAUCCAAAAUUUUACCAAAUACCAUAAUUGUAUUUACCAAUAGAUAGUAGUUCUUAUGUACGAAUGUAGUUGUUGUAUUUUCUCCGCAAAGGGCACCAGUAGUUCCUAGUUUUGUCUCUCAAA